GGGCCUAUAGCUCAGUGGUAGAGCGGGAGACUCAUAAUCUCAAGGUCGCAGGUUCGAAUCCUGUUGGGCCCA
This 72-nucleotide transfer RNA is filed under the name Tumebacillus algifaecis. It matches the Rfam family "tRNA". Rfam says of the family: Transfer RNA (tRNA) molecules are approximately 80 nucleotides in length. Their secondary structure includes four short double-helical elements and three loops (D, anti-codon, and T loops). Further hydrogen bonds mediate the characteristic L-shaped molecular structure. tRNAs have two regions of fundamental functional importance: the anti-codon, which is responsible for specific mRNA codon recognition, and the 3' end, to which the tRNAs corresponding amino acid is attached (by aminoacyl-tRNA synthetases). tRNAs cope with the degeneracy of the genetic code in two manners: having more than one tRNA (with a specific anti-codon) for a particular amino acid; and 'wobble' base-pairing, i.e. permitting non-standard base-pairing at the 3rd anti-codon position. Lineage: Bacteria; Bacillati; Bacillota; Bacilli; Caryophanales; Alicyclobacillaceae. The record is from Rfam by way of RNAcentral.